Molecule: small nucleolar RNA, 145 nt
Filed under: Myotis davidii
Lineage: Eukaryota; Metazoa; Chordata; Mammalia; Chiroptera; Vespertilionidae
Description: Small nucleolar RNA SNORA48
Rfam family: Small nucleolar RNA SNORA48
About the family: The snoRNA ACA 48 has been identified to guide pseudouridylation of the residue U3797 in the 28S rRNA subunit. Its host gene EIF4A1 (eukaryotic translation initiation factor 4A1) is shared with U67 and snoRNA mgU6-77
Source: Rfam by way of RNAcentral
AGCCCCUUGGCAAUGGGCAAGGAGACACCUGUUUGGUGGUGGUGCUCUUAUAUCAGUCAGGGGCAAAGCAGAGGUACAGUUCUUCAUUCAUCCUAGCUUAAUGCCUAUGUUGGAGGCCAGAUUGCUUCAUGCCUGAGGCACAUAA